UGCUAAAGAAAUUCCUCCUCAUCUCCUUCAUAAAGGAAGGUUCUUUGAUUCUGAGGCUUUGCCCUCUGGUCCUAGACUCUCCCACAAGUGGAAACAUCCUCUUCACAUCCACUCUAUCCGUACUUUUCACUGUUCGGUGAAGUUUCAAUCAGGUCUUCCCUCAUUCUUUUAAACUCCAGCGAGUACAGGCCCUGUGCUGUCAUACGGUCAUAUGUUAACUUAUUCAUUCCAGGGAUCAUUCUUGUUAACCUCCUCUGGACCCUCUCCAGAGCCAGCACAUCCUUCCUC
Amblyraja radiata (thorny skate) is the source of this 288-nucleotide long non-coding RNA. RefSeq lists it as uncharacterized. The transcript is spliced from 3 exons. The record is from RefSeq and is a predicted model, not a curated record. Lineage: Eukaryota; Metazoa; Chordata; Chondrichthyes; Rajiformes; Rajidae.